CGUGGCCUAGCUCGUCAAGUUGCCGUGGCGCGGAGAACUGUGCAAAACAAGAGGCUGAGGAUUGCGUUAGAGAUAAACCAGUUCACGCCGGAGCCCCGUGAGGGAAGCGUCUCCGUUGGGUCCGGCCGCUCUGCGGGACUCUGAGGAAAAGCUCGCACCAGGUGGACGCGGAUCUGUCACCAUGGGUAAAGGAGACCCCAACAAGCCGCGGGGCAAAAUGUCCUCGUACGCCUUCUUCGUGCAGACCUGCCGGGAAGAGCACAAGAAGAAACACCCGGACUCUUCCGUCAAUUUCGCGGAAUUCUCCAAGAAGUGUUCGGAGAGAUGGAAGACCAUGUCUGCAAAGGAGAAGUCGAAGUUUGAAGAUAUGGCAAAAAGUGACAAAGCUCGCUAUGACAGGGAGAUGAAAAAUUACGUUCCUCCCAAAGGUGAUAAGAAAGGGAAGAAAAAGGACCCCAAUGCUCCUAAAAGGCCACCGUAAGUUUAAAAUAACCCAAAUUGCUCCUUGGAUUUUUCCUUCAGUUUAUUAAGCUCUGUUGCUUCCUUUCAGAUCUGCCUUCUUCCUGUUUUGCUCUGAACAUCGCCCAAAGAUCAAAAGUGAACACCCUGGCCUAUCCAUUGGGGAUACUGCAAAGAAAUUGGGUGAAAUGUGGUCUGAGCAGUCAGCCAAAGAUAAACAACCAUAUGAACAGAAAGCAGCUAAGCUAAAGGAGAAAUAUGAAAAGGUACAGUGUCAUCUUUUUUAAAGCCGUGGAUAAGACUAGGUAUAGGUAAUAACUGUAGAAAACUUGGGAAAUUUAGUUAAUCUUGUAUUAAUGGUUGUCAGCUAUGUUUUGAAAAGGCCUAAUGAAAAUUGUACACUUCAACACAAGGUAAUUGAAACCUUCCUUUUGACUGAAACCAGUGUUUGUAGCACUAGUAUAUUCCUGCAGACAGACUUGUAGUUACUUGUAGUUACUGUAUAGUCUGUUAUUUUUUUUUUUUAAAGCAGAGAGUCAAAGAAAUUGUUUUAUGUAGAUAUAUAUAAAAUGUGAAGGUAUAGCAGGGACUAUGGCACUGUGUGAUGUAAAAGGGUAUUGGUAGUGAAAGUACUGAUACUGCUGUAUCGCAACCCUUGUCAUUUUACGUCAUUAACUUGUUAAAGCCUAGUGGGAUAAGUGCUCUAAAAACUUAGACUGGUUACCUUUUUAGACAGUUAUUAGGGUUAUUGGUCAAUCAUCUUAGAUUGUUUACAACUAAGUGGUUUUUCACAGUUGAGUAAUGACACCGGAUGCUUUAUUUUUUUGACAAUAUUUCAGGAUAUUGCUGCAUAUCGUGCCAAGGGCAAAAGUGAAGCAGGAAAGAAGGGCCCUGGCAGGCCAACAGGCUCAAAGAAGAAGAACGAACCAGAAGAUGAGGAGGAGGAGGAGGAAGAAGAAGAUGAAGAUGAGGAGGAAGAGGAUGAAGAUGAAGAAUAAAUGGCUAUCCUUUAAUGAUGCGUGUGGAAUGUGUGUGUGUGCUCAGGCAAUUGUUUUGCUAAGAAUGUGAAUUCAAGUGCAGCUCAAUACUAGCUUCAGUAUAAAAACUGUACAGAUUUUUGUAUAGCUGAUAAGAUUCUCUGUAGAGAAAAUACUUUUAAAAAAUGCAGGUUGUAGCUUUUUGACGGGCUACUCAUACAGUUAGAUUUUACAGCUUCUGAUGUUGAAUGUUCCUAAAUAUUUAAUGGUUUUUUUAAUUUCUUGUGUAUGGUAGCACAGCAAACUUGUAGGAAUUAGUAUCAAUAGUAAAUUUUGGGUUUUUUAGGAUGUUGCAUUUUGUUUUUUUAAAAAAAAUUUUGUAAUAAAAUUAUGUAU
RNAcentral lists this small RNA (1832 nucleotides) under Pan troglodytes (chimpanzee). RNAcentral's name for it is "retained intron". Lineage: Eukaryota; Metazoa; Chordata; Mammalia; Primates; Hominidae. The record is from RNAcentral.